GGGUUGAAUCGGGACUCCCUUUUCGGGAGUUUGCUGAUGAAGAUGAGUCCAGUGGCACCGUGACCACAGGACGGAGAAUACAACCUCCCCCUCCUUCUAGCGCCAAAUGAUAACGCCAAAUCCCGUUCCGGUGCUUCCUCCGCCGUGUACUGGUGUCUUGCGGUGUAGCUGCUGGACGGGUGUCUGCAAAACAACACCGGAGGGGGGUUUGAGCCCCGCGGCGCCUCCGGCGUGAGAAUGAGUACAGGCGUCGGAAAAUAUAUAGACG
This 268-nucleotide long non-coding RNA is filed under the name Daucus carota (carrot). RNAcentral describes it as "long non-coding RNA (DCAR_LNC002699)". The record is from RNAcentral. Lineage: Eukaryota; Viridiplantae; Streptophyta; Magnoliopsida; Apiales; Apiaceae.